AGAAGAAGAAGAAGAAGAAGAAAAUCGCCUGUGACGCUAUGUGAGGUUAGAGUUUGAGAAGAUGGAUAAUUGUUCAACUGAGUGAAACGGCUUUGUAAUCUGAUUCACUUCCAGUGCUAAUCUACUCACACAUCAAAGAGAAGUUAGACGGUUAUCCUUCAAACAGAUAAGUAAAAAUUAUUCAACAAAUCUCAUUCAUCUGUAAUAUGUUUUAUGUUUUGGUUCUGUUGAUUAUGAUUAUGAUUGUCCUGUCCUUUUUUUAAAAAAAUGUUUCAGGAAUUUGCAACUCAGAUGUCCAGCAAUCUACAUUUGCCAGGGUCCACACCUUAUUUAUUGGUCAAUCUUUAAAGUCCCCGUGAAAUCAAAAUUGAACCU
Pimephales promelas (fathead minnow) is the source of this 375-nucleotide non-coding RNA. The record is from RefSeq and is a predicted model, not a curated record. NCBI's taxonomy places the organism in Eukaryota, Metazoa, Chordata, Actinopteri, Cypriniformes, Leuciscidae.